GACAGCAGUAGCCGCGGUAAUACGGAGGGUGCAAGCGUUAAUCGGAAUUACUGGGCGUAAAGCGCACGCAGGCGGUCUGACAAGUCAGAUGUGAAAUCCCCGGGCUUAACCUGGGAACUGCAUUUGAAACUGUCAGGCUGGAGUCUUGUAGAGGGGGGUGGAAUUCCAGGUGUAGCGGUGAAAUGCGUAGAGAUCUGGAGGAAUACCGGUGGCGAAGGCGGCCCCCUGGACAAAGACUGACGCUCAGGUGCGAAAGCGUGGGGAGCAAACAGGAUUAGAUACCCCGGUAGUCCCUGUCUCUUAUAC
RNAcentral lists this ribosomal RNA (306 nucleotides) under uncultured bacterium. RNAcentral describes it as "partial 16S ribosomal RNA". It matches the Rfam family "Bacterial small subunit ribosomal RNA", at positions 507 to 807 of the family's 1533-position model. The record is from RNAcentral.